This 30-nucleotide non-coding RNA is filed under the name Mus musculus (house mouse). The record is from RNAcentral. Lineage: Eukaryota; Metazoa; Chordata; Mammalia; Rodentia; Muridae.
GCUCUUAGUAAAAUCAAAAGUAAUCUGCGA